This 253-nucleotide ribosomal RNA is filed under the name uncultured bacterium. RNAcentral's name for it is "partial 16S ribosomal RNA". It matches the Rfam family "Bacterial small subunit ribosomal RNA", at positions 524 to 776 of the family's 1533-position model. The record is from RNAcentral.
UACGUAGGUGGCGAGCGUUAUCCGGAUUUACUGGGCGUAAAGCGCUUGUAGGUGGCUUCGUAAGUUGGGCGUGAAAGCUCCGGGCUUAACUCGGAGAGGCCGUCCAAUACUGCGGGGCUAGAGGAUGUCAGAGGAAGGUGGAAUUCCUGGUGUAGUGGUGAAAUGCGUAGAUAUCAGGAGGAACACCCGUGGCGAAGGCGGCCUUCUGGGGCAUUCCUGACACUGAGAAGCGAAAGCUAGGGGAGCAAACAGG